AAAAACAUUAAUAAUCAAUAAUCAAAUUCAACUCUGCAAGGCUAUGUGAAUUUGGAUCAGGGUGUGCAAUUAGGAAAGGCACGUUGGGCCCAUGCAGUAAAGGCCCAUGGUAGUUCUUUGCUUGCAUUCAAAAUGGUGGGGGUGAAUAAGCAAAGUGGAUGUACUGCUUAGAAAAACCUCCCUUCCUUCCUCUUCACAUCUUCACAUCCAAACCUCCCUUCCUCUCUCAUAACUCUCAUCCUUGUCAUAAUUUGCUCUACCGCGCCGGAGGCGGCAUAUCAAGGCUAAUUAGUACCAAAACGCCACCAAAAGACUCACCUAUUCGUCUUCUCUCUAUUUCUCACCAUCGUUUCCUAUUUCAUCCACGAAACCCAAACGAAAUCCAUUCUCACAGUAAACCCCAGAUCUAAGCAAAAUAUGAAUUAAAUUCCAUACAAGCUAUGGUUCAUGCAAUUACAUGAGGGUUGUGGUUCUACGCAACAAGCACAACACAAUGGCAAGGAGAAAGGUGCACACAGAAGAAGAAAAGGAUAACUUAUGAGCUUAUCUGCAGGAGUAGCUCUGAAGGCCCUUCGAAUUUGGUGUUGACUCACAAGAAAACCAGAGAUUGGCUUAGAAACCCAGGUAAAAUCUUCAUAAUUAUAAUCUUUUCCUUUUAGAGUAAUCUUCUUCUUCCUCUUCUUCCAAGUAGUCUAUAGGGAAUGGUUGAAAUUGUUGUGUUGUUAUUGCUGAUGAGUGUAGAGAGUGUAGAGAGAGAGAGAGUGUAGAGAGUGUAGAGUGUAGAGAGUGUAGAGAGUGUAUAGAGAGAGAGAGAGAGAGAGAGAGAGAGAGAGAGAUAUUAUGUUAAUUUUAGUAGGUUGGGAUUAAAGUGUAGUGAACAACUUUGUUAAUUGUAAAUUGGAAAUUUGAAAAUGGAUGUUAUGGCUUGUUUGCUAAUGAUAGUUUGUUUGUUUGUUGACAAUGGAUAUUCCUGCCGAGUCCUUAGAACAUGCAUUGUGUGUGUUCAUUGAAUUUUAUGACUUGGUUGACCAUGUAAUGGCUUGUUUGCUAAUGAUAGUUUGUUUGUUUGUUGACAAUGGAUAUUCCUGCCGAGUCCUUAGAACAUGCAUUGUGUGUGUUCAUUGAAUUUUAUGACUUGGUUGACCAUGUAUUAUGUUUAUAUUUGUGAAUAUCAUGGAAUAUUGGAUGUAUGUAUAUUGCUAUGAGUUUGUGUAGGUAUGUUAUGGAUAUACUUGGUAUGAAACAUAAUUGAAUGCAUGUUGACAAUUCCUAUUGCUGCAGGGUUGUUGUAUGCUUGGUUGGCCAUAACACAAUGGUGAUUUAGCAAGGGACUAUCAAGGUUGGAAAGGCAUGAUGACACCAUGGAUCAUGAAGGAGUUUUGGAUAAAUUGAAUACUUGUAGGACCAUAGAUGAAAGACCUUGAGGAUGAAAAGAAAAGUAGUUUGACUUUGGUCAACUGUUUGAUCAAAAAGUCAACAGUUGAUCAAAAGUAACUCUAGGUCCUAAAUGACUUUUUUGUAUAAUUUUGUUACUCUCCCUCUUGGAAUGCAAUUUUAUGAUUUUGUAAUGAAAAAUGCCCCUUUUGAAUGUAAUGUGUGCCUUGUAUUCCAAGCUAUAUACCUUUCCCUCCAAAAUUUGAAUUUGAAAUGAUCUUGAAUGCUUGAAUAAAAUUGAACUCUUGAAUGAA
RNAcentral lists this long non-coding RNA (1688 nucleotides) under Lathyrus oleraceus (garden pea). RNAcentral describes it as "Pisum sativum (pea) long non-coding RNA (PSAT_LNC036595)". Lineage: Eukaryota; Viridiplantae; Streptophyta; Magnoliopsida; Fabales; Fabaceae. The record is from RNAcentral.